Brienomyrus brachyistius is the source of this 421-nucleotide long non-coding RNA. RefSeq lists it as uncharacterized. The record is from RefSeq and is a predicted model, not a curated record. The transcript is spliced from 3 exons. NCBI's taxonomy places the organism in Eukaryota, Metazoa, Chordata, Actinopteri, Osteoglossiformes, Mormyridae.
GUCUCCUGAAUGGUCAAGGUCUUCCUCUGGCGCUUUGGCUCACUGCUACCAGAAGGCGUAGAAGAUGCGGGACGCUUGGGAGCCAUCGUAGGGCUUAAAACAAAAGGAAAACAAUCGGACCACAAGUAAGGGUCCAGAGCAUCUGCCAGUCCCAAACCUGGGCACCUCUGCCCUCCAUGACCCCGAAGGCCUGAAGCAUCACCCCAGCACAGAGACUGACCUGAAGCCGCCUCCGUUCUGAUGACCACCUUACUGAGAAUAACACUCACAUGCCUAAUGACUCGAGCUGUUUGAGCGGAUCUGGUACCAGCGGUGAGGGCCCCAGGCACGGGAGCAGAACCGGCGGGCCGGAUCCAUCACAGGGGGCCUGACCCAAAGUUUCACUGCUGUCAUGUGUGAUUUACGGCCUUACUCGGCACGG